This 258-nucleotide ribosomal RNA is filed under the name Triticum aestivum (bread wheat). RNAcentral describes it as "partial small subunit ribosomal RNA". The record is from RNAcentral. Lineage: Eukaryota; Viridiplantae; Streptophyta; Magnoliopsida; Poales; Poaceae.
AUGGCACGUAUGCAGAACUACACACGGGCCCUAUGCUUCGUAGCUCUUGUAGCCAUGGCCACCACUGUCUUCUCAGAUCAUGCAGCAGCGCGUUACAUAGAUACUGACCUGUGUACACCUGUGGAGUAUUGUUCGCCACCAGUCCGAGCUAGUGGCAACAUUGCGUGCAAGGCUAACUGUGUUAACCGAGGUUAUGACAAGGAUAAGAGCAGUUGCCUUGAAGGCAGUAGUGGCACAUGCUGUUGCGGAAAGAACUGA